GGGGUUGUAGCUCAGUGGUUGAGCGCUUGCCUUGCAUACGGGAGGCACUGGGUUCGAUUCUCAGCACCA
This 69-nucleotide transfer RNA is filed under the name Ictidomys tridecemlineatus (thirteen-lined ground squirrel). RNAcentral describes it as "Spermophilus tridecemlineatus (thirteen-lined ground squirrel) tRNA". It matches the Rfam family "tRNA". From Rfam's summary of the family: Transfer RNA (tRNA) molecules are approximately 80 nucleotides in length. Their secondary structure includes four short double-helical elements and three loops (D, anti-codon, and T loops). Further hydrogen bonds mediate the characteristic L-shaped molecular structure. tRNAs have two regions of fundamental functional importance: the anti-codon, which is responsible for specific mRNA codon recognition, and the 3' end, to which the tRNAs corresponding amino acid is attached (by aminoacyl-tRNA synthetases). tRNAs cope with the degeneracy of the genetic code in two manners: having more than one tRNA (with a specific anti-codon) for a particular amino acid; and 'wobble' base-pairing, i.e. permitting non-standard base-pairing at the 3rd anti-codon position. Lineage: Eukaryota; Metazoa; Chordata; Mammalia; Rodentia; Sciuridae. The record is from Rfam by way of RNAcentral.